This 305-nucleotide ribosomal RNA is filed under the name uncultured bacterium. RNAcentral's name for it is "bacterial SSU rRNA". It matches the Rfam family "Bacterial small subunit ribosomal RNA", at positions 333 to 629 of the family's 1533-position model. The record is from RNAcentral.
AUGGUCCUACGGGAGGCAGCAGUGGGGAAUCUUCCGCAAUGGGCGCAAGCCUGACGGAGCAAUGCCGCCUGAACGAAGAAGGUCUUCGGAUUGUAAAGUUCUGUCCUUAUCGAAGAGAGGGUAUAGAGUGAAAAAUGAUAUACUAGGACGGUAGAUGAGGAGGAAGCCCCGGCUAACUACGUGCCAGCAGCCGCGGUAAUACGUAGGGGGCGAGCGUUGUCCGGAAUCACUGGGCGUAAAGGGCGCGUAGGCGGUACUAUAAGUCAGCUGUGAAAGGUGGGGACUCAACCCCUAGAGUGCAACUG